RNAcentral lists this ribosomal RNA (396 nucleotides) under uncultured bacterium. Its description in RNAcentral is "partial 16S ribosomal RNA". It matches the Rfam family "Bacterial small subunit ribosomal RNA", at positions 523 to 918 of the family's 1533-position model. The record is from RNAcentral.
AUACGUAGGGAGCGAGCGUUGUCCGGAAUUACUGGGUGUAAAGGGUGCGUAGGCGGGACUGCAAGUCAGAUGUGAAAUGCCGGGGCUCAACCCCGGAGCUGCAUUUGAAACUGUGGUUCUUGAGUGAGGUAGAGGUAAGCGGAAUUCCUAGUGUAGCGGUGAAAUGCGUAGAUAUUAGGAGGAACAUCGGUGGCGAAGGCGGCUUACUGGGCCUUUACUGACGCUGAGGCACGGAAGCGUGGGGAGCAAACAGGAUUAGAUACCCUGGUAGUCCAUGCUGUAAACGAUGAUUGCUAGGUGUGGGGGGACUGACCCCUUCCGUGCCGGAGUUAACACAAUAAGCAAUCCACCUGGGGAGUACGAUCGCAAGAUUGAAACUCAAAUGAAUUGACGGGG